This 464-nucleotide ribosomal RNA is filed under the name uncultured bacterium. RNAcentral describes it as "partial 16S ribosomal RNA". It matches the Rfam family "Bacterial small subunit ribosomal RNA", at positions 339 to 795 of the family's 1533-position model. The record is from RNAcentral.
CUACGGGCCGCAGCAGUUAGGGAUAUUCGGCAAUGGGGGAAACCCAGACCGAGCAAUGCCGCGUGAAUGAAGAAGUAUUUCGAUAUGUAAAGUUCUGUUGUUAAGGAAGAAAGGUACGAAUAGGAAAUGAUUCGUAAUUGACGGUACUUAACCAGAAAGCCCCUGCUAACUACGUGCCAGCAGCAGCGGUAAUACGUAGGGGGCGAGCGUUAUCCGGAAUUAUUGGGCGUAAAGGGUGCGUAGGCGGCCUGUCAAGUCCGAGUUGAAAGCCCACGGCUUAACCGUGGAGGGUGCUCGGAAACUGAUAGGCUCGAAUCCAGAAGAGGCAAGUGGAAUUCUAUGUGGAGCGGUGGAAUGCGUAGAUAUAUGGAGGAACACCAGUGGCGAAGGCGGCUUGCUGGGCUGGUAUUGACGCUGAUGCACGAAAGCGUGGGGAGCAAACAGGAUUAGAUACCCUUGUAGUC